UGCAAGUCGAACAAUGAAGCCCAGCUUGCUGGGUGGAUUAGUGGCGAACGGGUGAGUAACACCUGAGUAACCUCCCCUUAACUCUGGGAUAAGCCUGGGAAACUGGGUCUAAUACCGGAUAGGAGCGUCCACCGCAUGGUGGGUGUUGGAAAGAUUUAUCGGUUUUGGAUGGACUCGCGGCCUAUCAGCUUGUUGGUGAGGUAAUGGCUCACCAAGGCGACGACGGGUAGCCGGCCUGAGAGGGUGACCGGCCACACUGGGACUGAGACACGGCCCAGACUCCUACGGGAGGCAGCAGUGGGGAAUAUUGCACAAUGGGCGAAAGCCUGAUGCAGCGACGCCGCGUGAGGGAUGACGGCCUUCGGGUUGUAAACCUCUUUCAGUAGGGAAGAAGCGAAAGUGACGGUACCUGCAGAAGAAGCACCGGCUAACUACGUGCCAGCAGCCGCGGUAAUACGUAGGGUGCGAGCGUUAUCCGGAAUUAUUGGGCGUAAAGAGCUCGUAGGCGGUUUGUCGCGUCUGUCGUGAAAGUCCGGGGCUUAACCCCGGAUCUGCGGUGGGUACGGGCAGACUAGAGUGCAGUAGGGGAGAAUGGAAUCCCUGGUGUAGCGGUGGAAUGCGCAGAUUUCAGGAGGAACACCGAUGCGGAAGGCAGGUCUUUGGGCUGUAACUGACGGUGA
RNAcentral lists this ribosomal RNA (680 nucleotides) under Micrococcus luteus. RNAcentral's name for it is "bacterial SSU rRNA". It matches the Rfam family "Bacterial small subunit ribosomal RNA", at positions 56 to 749 of the family's 1533-position model. The record is from RNAcentral. Lineage: Bacteria; Bacillati; Actinomycetota; Actinomycetes; Micrococcales; Micrococcaceae.